RNAcentral lists this ribosomal RNA (465 nucleotides) under Vreelandella stevensii. RNAcentral describes it as "partial 16S ribosomal RNA". It matches the Rfam family "Bacterial small subunit ribosomal RNA", at positions 338 to 795 of the family's 1533-position model. Lineage: Bacteria; Pseudomonadati; Pseudomonadota; Gammaproteobacteria; Oceanospirillales; Halomonadaceae. The record is from RNAcentral.
CCUACGGGUGGCUGCAGUGGGGAAUAUUGGACAAUGGGCGAAAGCCUGAUCCAGCCAUGCCGCGUGUGUGAAGAAGGCCUUCGGGUUGUAAAGCACUUUCAGUGGGGAAGAAAGCCUUGGGGCUAAUACCCUCGAGGAAGGACAUCACCCACAGAAGAAGCACCGGCUAACUCCGUGCCAGCAGCCGCGGUAAUACGGAGGGUGCGAGCGUUAAUCGGAAUUACUGGGCGUAAAGCGCGCGUAGGCGGUCUGAUAAGCCGGUUGUGAAAGCCCCGGGCUCAACCUGGGAACGGCAUCCGGAACUGUCAGGUUAGAGUGCAGGAGAGGAAGGUAGAAUUCCCGGUGUAGCGGUGAAAUGCGUAGAGAUCGGGAGGAAUACCAGUGGCGAAGGCGGCCUUCUGGACUGACACUGACGCUGAGGUGCGAAAGCGUGGGUAGCAAACAGGAUUAGAUACCCCAGUAGUC